Long non-coding RNA from Helianthus annuus (common sunflower), 1189 nucleotides. RefSeq lists it as uncharacterized. NCBI's taxonomy places the organism in Eukaryota, Viridiplantae, Streptophyta, Magnoliopsida, Asterales, Asteraceae. The record is from RefSeq and is a predicted model, not a curated record. The transcript is spliced from 2 exons.
AACACAGAGAACGAGAGAUAGAUGGGUGUUUGUUGGUUUGGGUUAAUGAGUCUCCUUGUCCUUUUUGCAACCCCACCCCACCCCCUACCCACCACCCCCUUCCCUUCUUUCUCACCCCUUUAUUUAUCAUCUCUAUCCCCCUUCUCUUCUCACCAUUUUCAUACUCAUUCACUCUGUGAACUACACUCUCUUGAAGAAGAUUGAAGCUAUUUCUUUUGAGGGGAAUGUUGUUUGGCUCGAGGUCAUUAGAAACCAUGGAUCUUUAUCUCUCUCUAUAUAUAUAUGUAUGUAUAUAUAUUGAUGUAUGUAAAUGAUGUUGUCAUGUUGUAAUCAAACCAUCUGAUCAACAGAUCCAUCAUCUAUGGUCUUUGUUGAUCAAUGAGUUUUAGAUUAAUUAUAUAAAGUGUUAAAGAGAGUAUCUUGAUCAUUGGAUCUGGUGUGCUCGGACCAGGCUUCAUUCCCCCCAAUUGAGUCUUCGAUUAAUCUUCACAAACUUGCAAUCUUUCUUUCAUAAGAAAGAUCAGAUCUUUGAGUGUUGUACUUAAAUGGAUUAAUCAAGAUUCAAGAAUGUGCAUGUGUGGAUGGAAAACACAAGGAAGGAAGCAGACAUGGAGAUGCGCAGACACUAGCUGUGUCUUGAAAUGUAAAAGGAGUUGUCAUUUACUAGACCAGUAGUAGCCCUAGUUGAUAGAUGUGAAAAUGAUGCAAACUUUUUCUUUUUUUGUAAACAUGUUUCCUUUAUUAUGAACCCUAGAGUUUGGCAUCACCAGUGUUGUCUUUCUGAUUGAUUUGAUUGGGUUAAUUUGUCCAUAUUUUACUCUAUUCAUCAACAGUUUCUUGAAAAGCUGUUCUUGAUUCCUGAUUUGAUGAUAAAUGUUGUUUACAUUUGAGCUUGGAUGGGGCUCAUGCAUGUUAAUGGCUUUAAAAUUUAAAACUUAACUAUGAUCUUGUAAACCCUAGAUGUAUUUAUUGAUUCAUAAUUGUAUUUUUUUUUUAUGUAAUUCAUGUUCUUCAAAAACAAGAAGUGAAAGAGAGCUGUCAAGUACCCUCAUCUGUGAGUCAGUGUACAGGAGCUUGUAAUGUCAAUGUGUCAUGAAUUCUGAAAUGGGUCUGUCAUCAUUUUUAUAUCAUUUUCUUGUACUAUCAUUUAAAUUUUAAUUUUUUAUACAAGAAUUUGUACAAGUAUUAA